AUCCACCCGGUUCUUAAAAGAUGGAUGCUGGUCAUCUGGAACAAAUUGCUCAUCCCGGAACAAAAGCACAUAUUGUGGCUUCAGUCUCUGUUUAGAAGACCACAGUCGUAGGAACAGCAAUGAUACUGUGUAGGACCCUCAAACUCCCAGGCCUCUGGUAGAGGACCCAAACAUAAAGACUGCCCACAGGAAAUCGGCACGAUGAAAACAAACACCAAAGUUGAGCAGAACAGCGUGCUUACGGAAGCCAUUACGGAAGCCAUUACAGAAGCCAUUCGCAUGUGAUCUAGUUCUAGUGCGACUGGUUUAAUGACACUUAGAGUGCUCUAAAUGUCUGAGGAUCCUGAUAUUUUCAGUGAAUAACAGAGAAUCG
Molecule: long non-coding RNA, 373 nt
Organism: Oreochromis niloticus (Nile tilapia)
Lineage: Eukaryota; Metazoa; Chordata; Actinopteri; Cichliformes; Cichlidae
Exons: 3
Source: RefSeq, a predicted model, not a curated record